This 60-nucleotide microRNA precursor is filed under the name Spodoptera frugiperda (fall armyworm). RNAcentral describes it as "partial precursor microRNA 5". Lineage: Eukaryota; Metazoa; Arthropoda; Insecta; Lepidoptera; Noctuidae. The record is from RNAcentral.
AGGCAAGAAGUCGGCAUAGCUGUUUGAUGUUGGUAUACGGCUGUGUCACUUCGAGCCAGC